AUGGCGGCGGUUCGGUGCGCGGCGAGGAGGUUUAGUGGCUCCCUGCUCCAGCGAACGCAGGCGAUGGUCACGGAGGAGGGACGCCGGCUCACGCCAAGCAGGCUCAUGCGCUCCCGCGAGCUCUCCAGUAAGGUCUCCGGUGAGGUGGCGGAGCGACUCCUCCUCGAGCCAGGCAGCCUCAUGCGCUCCCGCCAGCUCUCCAGCCAGCAUGCUCGCAACAUCGAGAAGAAAGAGGAUGACUGCUGGGCGGGGUUCAAUGAGACGUUAAAGAGGUUGGACGAGCUUCAAAAAAAGAAGAAACCAAGUGUUUUUCAGCAGCGCAUGAUAUCCAUCGACCGUGCGUUGAAGAGUUUAGUCUAUGAAUCUUUCAAGCUGACAGUUGUGUAUGUGGCUGCUGCUGCUGCUUUCUCUGGCAAUGGACUAGAAGCCUAG
This 432-nucleotide ribosomal RNA is filed under the name Triticum aestivum (bread wheat). RNAcentral's name for it is "partial small subunit ribosomal RNA". The record is from RNAcentral. Lineage: Eukaryota; Viridiplantae; Streptophyta; Magnoliopsida; Poales; Poaceae.